Molecule: ribosomal RNA, 406 nt
Filed under: uncultured bacterium
Lineage: Bacteria
Description: partial 16S ribosomal RNA
Rfam family: Bacterial small subunit ribosomal RNA
Source: RNAcentral
AUUGAACGCUGGCGGCAGGCCUAACACAUGCAAGUCGAACGAGUGGCGGACGGGUGAGUAAUGUCUGGGAAACUGCCUGAUGGAGGGGGAUAACUACUGGAAACGGUAGCUAAUACCGCAUACCAUCGGAUGUGCCCAGAUGGGAUUCGCUAUUAGGUGGGGUAAAGGCUUACCUAGGCGACGAUCCCUAGCUGGUCUGAGAGGAUGAACAGCCACACUGGAACGGAGACACGGUCCAGACUCCUACGGGAGGCAGCAGUGGGGAAUCUUGCACAAUGGGCGCAAGCCUGAUGCAGCCAUGCCGCGUGUAUGAAGAAGGCCUUCGGGUUGUAAAGCACUGUCAGCGGGGAGGCGUUACCCGCAGAGGAAGCACCGGCUAACUCCGUGCCAGCAGCCGCGGUAAUUC